UUCAAAGAACUGUGUGGUUUAGGUGUAC
RNAcentral lists this non-coding RNA (28 nucleotides) under Bombyx mori (domestic silkworm). The record is from RNAcentral. Lineage: Eukaryota; Metazoa; Arthropoda; Insecta; Lepidoptera; Bombycidae.